RNAcentral lists this long non-coding RNA (207 nucleotides) under Setaria italica (foxtail millet). Its description in RNAcentral is "long non-coding RNA (SITA_LNC003128)". Lineage: Eukaryota; Viridiplantae; Streptophyta; Magnoliopsida; Poales; Poaceae. The record is from RNAcentral.
GAUUUUUCAACUUCAUAUGGUUGUGCUUGAAAAUGCAUAUUAGUAGGGUGACUAUCAUGGGUAUUACUUUGUUUGUGAAUGCCUGGGUGCUUUAGACAUGUUUUAAGAGCUGAGCUAAAGAUUUUUUUAAUCUACACGCACCUCAAUACCUCAUGAACUGUGUACUAACUCUUAUUUGAAUUUUUUGUGAUAGUGGUUUGCCUACCC